Molecule: ribosomal RNA, 872 nt
Filed under: uncultured bacterium
Lineage: Bacteria
Description: bacterial SSU rRNA
Rfam family: Bacterial small subunit ribosomal RNA
Source: RNAcentral
CGGUAACAGAAGAGCUUGCUCUUGCUGACGAGCGGCGGACGGGUGAGUAACGUAUGGGGAUCUGCCGAAUGGAGGGGGACAACAGUUGGAAACGACUGCUAAUACCGCAUAAUGUCGCGAGACCAAAGCAUGGGACCUUAGGGCCAUGCGCCAUUUGAUGAACCCAUAUGGGAUUAGCUAGUAGGUGAGGUAAUGGCUCACCUAGGCGACGAUCUCUAGCUGGUCUGAGAGGAUGACCAGCCACACUGGGACUGAGACACGGCCCAGACUCCUACGGGAGGCAGCAGUGGGGAAUAUUGCACAAUGGGGGAAACCCCGAUGCAGCCAUGCCGCGUGUAUGAAGAAGGCCUUCGGGUUGUAAAGUACUUUCGGUAGCGAGGAAGGGGUUACAUCUAAUAGGUGUAACCAUUGACGUUAACUACAGAGGAAGCACCGGCUAACUCCGUGCCAGCAGCCGCGGUAAUACGGAGGGUGCGAGCGUUAAUCGGAAUGACUGGGCGUAAAGGGCAUGUAGGCGGAUAGUUAAGUUAGGUGUGAAAGCCCCGGGCUCAACCUGGGAAUUGCAUUUAAAACUGGUUAUCUGGAGUAUUGUAGAGGAAGGGUAGAAUUCCAUGUGUAGCGGUGAAAUGCGUAGAGAUGUGGAGGAAAUACCGGUGGCGAAGGCGGGCCUUCUGGACAAAUACUGACGCUGAGAUGCGAAAGCGUGGGGAGCAAACAGGAUUAGAUACCCUGGUAGUCCACGCUGUAAACGAUGUCAACUUGGGGAGUUUGGGUCCUAGAGACCUGGGGCUCCGAAGCUAACGCGAUAAGUUGACGCCCUGGGGGAGUACGGCCGCAGGUUAAACUCAAUGAAUUUGACGGGGGCCCGCACA